GGAGACUAGACUGACUUAUCCCCCAAAGGCAAAACAAAACAGUUUCUCCCUAUAAUAUUUACAAGAAAGCAUCAGUAAUGAAAAUCAGCAAUUGGUAUAUGCAACAGAGAAUUUGACAAAUAUGUACCCAUUGAAUCAAUAUCCGCAACAAAGAACGAACCUUUUGCUCUGUCAGGAAACCAUUGUUCUCCGAGAACAGCAGCUUCGAGCUGGAGAUAUACCAUGAAUAGUGAACAAACAUUACCAAGAACAAGUUAACUUGGAUUCUACUCGUACCAAUGGGAAAGCCAAGGGUGAUCUAGGGCCUCUUUGGCCGUAAGACGUUUUUGAGGAUUUAUCUCAAGCAACUUUCUUACAAAAUCAAGGAAUAAUGGAUCAGAAACUGACAGCUGAUGCUCCAAUGACGUUUCCUCGGGGAUGAUGUAUUCCAAUAGACUAGUAUCCUCAUUUAUAUGAUAAAGGUCAUAAUCCUUUGUGAAAUAUUUUUGUGUCUCUUGUCCCCUUUCUAACAUGUCCAUGUCUACAGGACCAAGCAUU
This 537-nucleotide unclassified non-coding RNA is filed under the name Hevea brasiliensis (rubber tree). The record is from RNAcentral. Lineage: Eukaryota; Viridiplantae; Streptophyta; Magnoliopsida; Malpighiales; Euphorbiaceae.